AACAUUAGGUGAUCAUCCCGCGUUAUGCCGCGGUUUUUUCAGAUUUUUUUUAU
This 53-nucleotide small RNA is filed under the name Arabidopsis thaliana (thale cress). Its description in RNAcentral is "ATSL104790". Lineage: Eukaryota; Viridiplantae; Streptophyta; Magnoliopsida; Brassicales; Brassicaceae. The record is from RNAcentral.